This 848-nucleotide ribosomal RNA is filed under the name Ralstonia sp. LZXC19. RNAcentral describes it as "bacterial SSU rRNA". It matches the Rfam family "Bacterial small subunit ribosomal RNA", at positions 358 to 1195 of the family's 1533-position model. Lineage: Bacteria; Pseudomonadati; Pseudomonadota; Betaproteobacteria; Burkholderiales; Burkholderiaceae. The record is from RNAcentral.
AGGGGAUUGGAUGGGCGCAAGCCUGAUCCAGCAAUGCCGCGUGUGUGAUGAAGGCCUUCGGGUUGUAAAGUUCUUUUGUCCGGAAAGAAAUGGCUCUGGUUAAUACCUGGGGUCAAUGACGGUACCGGAAGAAUAAGGACCGGCUAACUACGUGCCAGCAGCCGCGGUAAUACGUAGGGUCCAAGCGUUAAUCGGAAUUACUGGGCGUAAAGCGUGCGCAGGCGGUUGUGCAAGACCGAUGUGAAAUCCCCGAGCUUAACUUGGGAAUUGCAUUGGUGACUGCACGGCUGGAGUGUGUCAGAGGGGGGUGGAAUUCCACGUGUAGCAGUGAAAUGCGUAAAGAUGUGGAGGAAUACCGAUGGCGAAGGCAGCCCCCUGGGAUAACACUGACGCUCAUGCACGAAAGCGUGGGGAGCAAACAGGAUUAGAUACCCUGGUAGUCCACGCCCUAAACGAUGUCAACUAGUUGUUGGGGAUUCAUUUCCUUAGUAACGUAGCUAACGCGUGAAGUUGACCGCCUGGGGAGUACGGUCGCAAGAUUAAAACUCAAAGGAAUUGACGGGGACCCGCACAAGCGGUGGAUGAUGUGGAUUAAUUCGAUGCAACGCGAAAAACCUUACCUACCCUUGACAUGCCACUAACUUACCAGAGAUGCAUUAGGUGCUCGAAAGAGAAAGUGUACACUGGUGCUUGCGUGAUGGUCGUCAGCUCGUGUCGAGAAAUGUUGCGUUAAGUCCCCGCAACGGAGCUGCAAUCCUUGUCUCUAGUGCUACAAUAAGGGUGACUCCUAGAGAGACUGAACGGAUGACGAAUCCAGGACGGAAUGCUGAGAUGACGACUGUACAACG